Molecule: ribosomal RNA, 253 nt
Filed under: uncultured bacterium
Lineage: Bacteria
Description: partial 16S ribosomal RNA
Rfam family: Bacterial small subunit ribosomal RNA
Source: RNAcentral
UACGGAGGGUGCUAGCGUUGGUCGGAAUUACUGGGCGUAAAGCGCACGUAGGCGGAUUUGUAAGUCAGGGGUGAAAUCCCGGGGCUCAACCUCGGAACUGCCUUUGAUACUGCAAAUCUCGAGUCCGGAAGAGGUGAGUGGAAUUCCUAGUGUAGAGGUGAAAUUCGUAGAUAUUAGGAAGAACACCAGUGGCGAAGGCGGCUCACUGGUCCGGUACUGACGCUGAGGUGCGAAAGCGUGGGGAGCAAACAGG